This 724-nucleotide long non-coding RNA is filed under the name Homo sapiens (human). Its description in RNAcentral is "HSALNT0345095". The record is from RNAcentral. Lineage: Eukaryota; Metazoa; Chordata; Mammalia; Primates; Hominidae.
AAAUGCUUCCAAGCCAGAGAUCCACUUCAUAGGCUGGCUUAGGCUUUUGAAAUAAAACACCCGCCUGAAACAAGCAUUGGCAGGUUCUAUUUCAGGGAUGGGGCAGAGGCAAGGACCCUGGCCUUGUCUCCAUACAGCUUUAGGUGAUGCAGGGUUUUUGAAUUUGGCCUCUAUUUCAAGCACUUUCUGAAAAAGAAAAGCAUAACCAGGAUAGUUCCAAGGCAGACAGUUCUUCUGUUUAUUUUUUCACAGGAGCGUGUGAGAAAUGGAGACAGAGGGAUUGGAGAGAUGAAGAUGGGGGAUCCGUGGUCUCUGAAGCCCCCAAUGCUUGUGUGAGGGAAGACCAUCAUAUUGGACUAGAACCUACCCUAAUAAUCCCAAUGAAACUUAAUGACUUCUUUGAAGGCCCUAUCUCCAUAUAAAGUCAUAUUCUAAGGUUUGCUUUUUCCAGUGAAGCUUUCUACCAGAAAAAAGGCAAAGAAGAUGGUUUUUCUGAUAAAGUCCCAUGAGAAUGCUCUGAUGACACUGGAAAAGCUUUCUUUCAUUCAUCCACCCACUGGUGACUUGGAAAAUAGCCUCUUCACCUUCAAAUGAGAGAAUAAUGCUGAAUUUUUCUGAAUUUCUAAGACGGGAAGUGAUGUAUCACUAAAACGGUGAGCUCUCACUGAAACAGGAAAUCUUCUACCAGUGUGGGUCUGAGUUGAUCUCUCCCUCCCUCCCUCCA